Long non-coding RNA from Drosophila pseudoobscura, 329 nucleotides. RefSeq lists it as uncharacterized. NCBI's taxonomy places the organism in Eukaryota, Metazoa, Arthropoda, Insecta, Diptera, Drosophilidae. The transcript has 2 exons. The record is from RefSeq and is a predicted model, not a curated record.
GUUACUGCUUUCUCUACAGGGAUACCCUCUAACCAAAUAUUGAACCUGCUGAGUGGAGGCAUUGAGUCAUUCUUUCAACAUUUCUGGAUCUAAUACAAUAAAAGGACUCAUGGAAGAAUUGAAGAGAAAAAAAGUAGAGUCCAUUGUAAUAAGAGGAGACCAAUUUCCUUCUGUAUUGCCAUGCCAUAGACACGCAAAGGCCCGGGCAGAAGGAAGUCCUUUCCCAGUCAGUCACUCAGUCAGUUGGUCCUCGGUGGAACCCGUUCUGAAGUAUGCACAUUAUGUCAUUAGCAUGUUGGCAAAUAUAAAGGGCCCAAAGUUUUGUUAAA